CAAGUCGAGCGGGAACGGUUCCUUCGGGAACUUAGUAUAGCGGCGGACGGGUGAGUAACGCGUGAUUAAUCUGCCCUCAGGACCGGGAUAGCCAUUCGAAAGGAUGGGUAAUACCGGAUAAGCCCACAGCUUCGCAUGAAGUAGUGGGAAAAAGGUUGGGCUCUUCGGACCUUCCGCCUGUGGAUGAAAUCGCGUCCUAUUAGCUUGUUGGUGGGGUAACGGCCUACCAAGGCAACGAUGGGUAGCGGGCCUGAGAGGGCGACCCGCCACACUGGAACUGAGACACGGUCCAGACUCCUACGGGAGGCAGCAGUGCUGAAUCAUUCGCCAAUGCGCGAAAGCGUGACGGUGCGACGCCGCGUGCGGGAUGAAGGCCUUCGGGUUGUAAACCGCUGUCAGGUCCUAGGAAACCAUAGGGGUGAAUAGUCUCUAUGCUGACCAGGUCCAGAGGAAGCACAGGCUUACUUCGUGCCAGCAGCCGCGGUAAGACGAAGUGUGCGAGCGUUGUUCGGAAUCACUGGGCGUAAAGGGUGCGUAGGCGGCAUGGUAAGUCAGGUGUGAAAUCCCCCGGCUCAACCGGGGAAUUGCUUUUGAUACUGCCAUGCUUGAGAGCGAAAGGGGCAAGCGGAAUUCCAGGUGUAGCGGUGGAAUGCGUAGAUAUCUGGGAGAACGCCGAUGGCGAAGGCAGCUUGCUGGGUCGCGUCUGACGCUGAGGCACGAAAGCUAGGGGAGCGAACAGGAUUAGAUACCUGGUAGUCCUAGCCGUAAACGAUGGGCACUACGUUCCGGAGGGCCUGAUCCCUUCGAAGCGUGAGUUAACGCAUUAAGUGCCCCGCCUGGGGAGUAUGGUCGCAAGGCUAAAACUCAAAGGAAUUGACGGGGGCUCACACAAGCGGUGGAGCAUGUUGUUCAAUUCGAAGCAACGCGAAGAACCUUACCUGGGCUUGACAUGCUAGUAGUACGAACCCGAAAGGGGGAGGACUCUUAACCGAGAGCUAGCACAGGUGCUGCAUGGCUGUCGUCAGCUCGUGUCGUGAGACGUUGGGUUAAGUCCCGUAACGAGCGAAACCCUUGUUGUCUGUUGCCAUCGGGUCAUGCCGGGCACUCUGGCAAGACUGCCGGUGUUAAACCGGAGGAAGGCGGGGACGACGUCAAGUCAUCAUGGUCCUUACGUCCAGGGCUACAAACGUGCUACAAUGGCCAGUACAGAGAGAAGCAAGACCGCGAGGUGGAGCAAAUCUUCAAAGCUGGCCCCAGUUCGGAUUGGAGGCUGCAAUUCGCCUCCAUGAAGUUGGAAUCGCUAGUAAUCGCGGAUCAGCAACGCCGCGGUGAAUAUGUUCCUGAGCCUUGUACACACCGCCCGUCAAGCCACCCAAGCUGGAAGCACCCGAAGUCAG
Molecule: ribosomal RNA, 1397 nt
Filed under: uncultured organism
Description: 16S ribosomal RNA
Rfam family: Bacterial small subunit ribosomal RNA
Source: RNAcentral